GAGUAAUGUCUGGGAAACUGCCUGAUGGAGGGGGAUAACUACUGGAAACGGUGGCUAAUACCGCAUAACGUCGCAAGACCAAAGAGGGGGACCUUCGGGCCUCUUGCCAUCAGAUGUGCCCAGAUGGGAUUAGCUUGUUGGUGAGGUAACGGCUCACCAAGGCGACGAUCCCUAGCUGGUCUGAGAGGAUGACCAGCCACACUGGAACUGAGACACGGUCCAGACUCCUACGGGAGGCAGCAGUGGGGAAUAUUGCACAAUGGGCGCAAGCCUGAUGCAGCCAUGCCGCGUGUAUGAAGAAGGCCUUCGGGUUGUAAAGUACUUUCAGCGGGGAGGAAGGUGUUGUGGUUAAUAACCGCAGCAAUUGACGUUACCCGCAGAAGAAGCACCGGCUAACUCCGUGCCAGCAGCCGCGGUAAUACGGAGGGUGCAAGCGUUAAUCGGAAUUACUGGGCGUAAAGCGCACGCAGGCGGUCUG
RNAcentral lists this ribosomal RNA (478 nucleotides) under Salmonella enterica subsp. enterica serovar Paratyphi B. RNAcentral describes it as "partial 16S ribosomal RNA". It matches the Rfam family "Bacterial small subunit ribosomal RNA", at positions 108 to 582 of the family's 1533-position model. Lineage: Bacteria; Pseudomonadati; Pseudomonadota; Gammaproteobacteria; Enterobacterales; Enterobacteriaceae. The record is from RNAcentral. RNAcentral also lists the same sequence under 2 other names.